This 72-nucleotide transfer RNA is filed under the name Candidatus Methanofilum arcanum. RNAcentral's name for it is "tRNA-Arg". It matches the Rfam family "tRNA". From Rfam's summary of the family: Transfer RNA (tRNA) molecules are approximately 80 nucleotides in length. Their secondary structure includes four short double-helical elements and three loops (D, anti-codon, and T loops). Lineage: Archaea; Methanobacteriati; Methanobacteriota; Methanomicrobia; Methanomicrobiales; Methanospirillaceae. The record is from RNAcentral.
GUCCCGAUAGGGUAGAGGAUAUCCUAGGAGCCUGCGGAGCUCUUGACCCGGGUUCAAGUCCCGGUCGGGGCG